This 781-nucleotide unclassified non-coding RNA is filed under the name Hevea brasiliensis (rubber tree). Lineage: Eukaryota; Viridiplantae; Streptophyta; Magnoliopsida; Malpighiales; Euphorbiaceae. The record is from RNAcentral.
GUUCUUGCCGAUAAAUGCAAGCAGGAUUCGUCAAAGACGACACUUAAAAACACCAAAAUAAUAAUGAAUGAUUCUCCAUAUCCAUCAAUUACAAAGUUUUUGACACCUGUUGAUUUGAAAAACUUAUUAAAUGAUCAAAUGAAAUAACUUGAAAAUAUUUAUGAAAUUCCAAGAAUUCGGUAAUGAAUUUCCCAGAUAAGCAUAACAGAUUUGGAAAUGAAAAUAUCAUUUAACACCUGAUGAAUCAGAGUUUUAACACAAGUUGGUUUAAAACCUAUUAAGAGAAUAAAAACAGAACAACCAGAAAAAGAUUAAAUUCCAAACAUUUUGGUAAUGAACUUCAGCAAAAAAGGCAAAUAGGCAUGAUUCCCCAAACACGACACUUGAAUGCUUCUCAUGAUCCAUCAAUUAUGAAGUUUUUGAUACCGGUUAUUACAAAGUUUUCAACACCUGUUGAUAUGAAAACCUAGUAAAUGAUCAAAUGAAACAACUGGAAAAUAUUUAUAAAAUUCCAAGUAUUCGGUAAUAACUUCCAGGCACGAAUAACAUAUAUGGAAACAGAAUAAUAUGAAAAAUAAUAUUACAGAUCCAUGAAUUACAUAAAUGUUAACACCUGUCAACCAAACCUAAUAAGUGAUCAAGCAGAAUAACCAGAAAAAAAAAAUAAAGUUCAAAGAUUCGGUAACGAACUUCAACAAAGAAGGUAAACAAAGUUCAAAGUUCUUGCCAGCACUUGAAAACACCAAAAUACUAAUGAAUGCUUCUCAUGAUCCAUCAAUUA